GUCAUCACUAUCAUCAUCACCAUCAUAGUUGCAUAAACUCAGGAUGAACUUGCAGCUACUGAGAUCAAUCAUUCUUAGAAGCCACUAAGUGUACAGAAUUCCCUCCAGUAUGGAAUCUAUGGCCUAUAGGAUGAGAGAGAACGUGGACAGGUAAAGAAAGAAGUAAUUUCAGAUUGAAAGUGCACUGAGGGAAAUGAACUGGGGCUGAGAUGGGGAACAUCCCGCUGAGGGAAGUGAUUUGGA
This is a long non-coding RNA of Myotis myotis, 243 nucleotides long. RefSeq lists it as uncharacterized. Lineage: Eukaryota; Metazoa; Chordata; Mammalia; Chiroptera; Vespertilionidae. The record is from RefSeq and is a predicted model, not a curated record. The transcript has 3 exons.